This 11468-nucleotide long non-coding RNA is filed under the name Aquilegia coerulea. RNAcentral describes it as "long non-coding RNA (ACOE_LNC000508)". Lineage: Eukaryota; Viridiplantae; Streptophyta; Magnoliopsida; Ranunculales; Ranunculaceae. The record is from RNAcentral.
ACCCAUCAAGCAAAUCCUAUAAAAUGAACAAAUACAUAUUAAUUAUUUAAAAUAGUAAAUAUAUAUAGACUAACUAGUAUAAAUUUGGGUGUAGAAAUUAUGGAUAUAAUGUGUUCAUCAUCAAGUCGAUGAUAAUGAGUUGUGGCCAAGUCGAUGCCUUCUUUUGAUUGCUUAGUUGCUUGUGUAGCAAGCUAAUCUGCAACAAAGUUUGUUUCACGAAAUUGCCAGCCAAUUGAAUGGGAUAGAAUGUCCUUGAGCAUAGUGAGACAAUCAUUGCGCACAUGGUAUAGUUCAAAAGGCACUUUAAACUGUAUCUUUCAAUAAGUGAAAAAGUGUUUGUGAAUCCACUUCAAUAUUGGUGUUGUCAAGGUGAAGAGCUCAUACUGCCAAUAGUCCAAUUUGGAGUACAGUGAAUUCAUCUGGAAGCAUUGAAGUAGAGAAGAUAGGCACAGUUAAAGCAAUUAACAUCCUUCCUCCAAAGUCCCUAAUAAUCGCACUAGGACUUCCCAUUCUGAUAUGUUCAGACACAGAUCCAUCACAAUUUAGUUUCAACCAUAGAUGAUCAGGAGGUUUCCAUUUAAUGGACCUAAAAAACUUUGUUGGUUGAGUAGUUGCACCAACAUCAUAUAAUCUCAUCAUGUCUUCAGUUAGCUUGUGUGCUAGAAAAAUCACUUUCCUUGGACAACAUUGUAAAGAAUUAAAUCUGGAUUCCUUUCUUUCUAGCAAAAUAAACCACAAAGUUGUACCAAACAAAGGUAGAAGGUGAUGACGCUCAUAUAUGUUCUAUUUGAAAAUGAAAAACACAACUAAUAGGGGAAGUCAGUUCGAGGAGCUUCUUCAACUGCUUGAGCCAUGUCUAACACAAACCACACUGCUCUUGUGAAAGGGCAAGUAAUAAAAAGAUGAUCUACAUCAUCUAUUCUAGAAAGACAAAACGAGCAUAUUGGGUAUGUUUGAAAAUGAUAGUAUCAGAGAUAACUUGAUGUAGGAAUGACUUGAUAAGAGAACAUCCACAAGGGAAAUCUAAUCUUUUGUUGAAGAUUUUUUUUUCCAUAGAAAUUUGUAGAAAGGAUCGACUUUAGUGACAUCUGAAUUGCACCAAGAGAGAAUCUUAAAGUAUGUCGACUUUACAGUGUAAGAACCAUGUUUCUUUGGUGCCCAAAUUCGUGAAUCAUUAUGACAAAACUGAGAUAAAUGCAAUGAGAUAAUCUCUUCAGAAAGGUGAGGCGGAGACCAACAUCCUCCCAAACAUUAAUAUUUGUUACAUCUCCGAUCUGCCAUCGAAUUCCCUAAAAGAGCAUAUUCUUAACCUUUGGUAAAGUUCUCCAGACCAUGGAGUGGUUACCUACAGCCUUUGAAUUUAGAAAAUCACAAUGAGGAUUAGUCUUCAUCAGUUGCGCCCAUGGUGAUACAUGGUCCAAAGGUUCCCAGGGGUUUUUGCCCAACAAUGCCACAUUAUGGAUGAAUAGAUCCUUUACUCCAAUCCCUCCACUAUUUAUAUCAAAUAGUAUUCUAACUGUACACAUCAAAUCUUAUAUAGUAUAAUAUUAUAUAUAUAUAUAUAUACACCACAUCCAACUCAUAAUCAAACGAAUCAUACCAGAUCAAUCAAUAGUAAACAAAUACUAAUAAACAAACGUGUGCCCCCGACACCAACCUUUUUCCCCAUACACCCAUGUGCCCCCGGCACCUAGUGUCCCAUGGCACCAUCUUUGUUGUCCGUACAACCAUGUGCCCCCGACACCAAGUGUCUGUCGACACUAACAGGCUUAGGGAACGAACAUGCCAUGUCCCUAACCAACUUGCUAUCCCUAUAGCCAUGUGUUCUUCACACCCAUGUCCUCGAGACACCCACAGGACUUGAAAAAGUACAAGCUUUGUCCCUAACCAAAGGUACCACUGUACCAUCACCGUUCCACAACCAAUGUGUCACUUGUACCAAACUCUACUCAUAGAGUUCCAACAUCAUAUCUUCGGAUAUACAUGCUCAUUGAGUAUCCACAUCAUAUCCUCAGACAUACGUGCUCAAGAGUAUCCAUAUCAUAUCCCUCAAAUAUAAGUCACACAACCAUCAACAAACAUUCAUCAUGAUUACUUUAAACAAAGCAUAAAGUCUCAGUUUGUAAAGGUUCAGUCACCUGAACUUAAAAAACUUCAGUCGACUGAUGUAAAAGGUCUUUCAGUCGAACAUGCAAAGUCUUUAGUCGACUCAACCCACUCAUGGUUCAGUCGGCUGAGCAUUGAACCGACAUUCUUAACUAUUUCUAAUCCUGGGAUGAAUUAAAUAUAAUAAUAUAACAGGCUUUCAUACAACUAAUAUCAUCUAAACCUAGAAAUCAACAUAGAAAUGUAAGUUAGAUAACUUGCCUUAAUCCAAAGCUAAGCAUAAUAAUCUAAUUCCAAAGUUAUGCAAGCAAUCUCCGAUAAAGAAUAUGAACCCUAGAUGCAAUCUCCUCUUUUUGCAUCUUGUAACACCCAUGAGUUGGUGUUAGUCUUACAUUCCCAAGGAAGUGGUUGUAUUGGCAGUAUAUAGAGCUUAACCAUACUCUAACUAAUGUCAAAGCUUUUUGGGGAAAACCCAGAUGGGUGGACCCUGAUCCAAACCUUCUGUUGUUGGAUAUCUGCAGUGACUAAAGGAGAACAAUAUUGACAUUAGCGAGCGGUAUGGUGCUCGACACUCCGGGAUGGGCGAAGACGAAAUCCCAAGGCGUUAUAGUUGGUAUCAGAGUCGACGACAUGUUCUUGUUGCUGGUGGGAAGUACACUGGAAAGGCUUAGGGAGCGCCAAAUACUUGUUUCACUUGGCAAGGAACGUCGAAGAUUUUGGGAUUGUACUGAAGAGUCGAGGAUGACUCUAUUCUAAAGUGGUGGGAUUAUAACAACCAUGAGUUAGUGUUAGUCCAACAUUGCUAAGGAAGUGGUUGUAUUGGUAGUAUAUAGAGCUUAACCAUACUCUAACUAAUGUCAAGGCCUUUUAGGAAAAAACCCAGAUGGGUGGACCCUGAUCCAAAACCAUCUACUGCUGGAUAUCCAUAGUGACUAAAGGGGGACAAUAUUGAUAUUAGCUUGUUAAUUAGUCCUCUUACUGAUCUCACAGCGAAGACGGAUCGAAAAAAGUUCAAGGAACAAAGUCAAUAUAUCAAUUUGAAAAAAAUCAUUAAUUUUUUGUUUAGGAGUGUGUCGUAGUAAAAUCGGGUGUGCUUUUAACACAACCUUUGUAAAAUAGUAGGGUGGCAAUAUGAUUUCCCAAAAACAAACGAAACCUUUUAGAUUAAAGUUGACUAGCUGGAGCCUAAUUUUGGGGUUGUAGAAAGGCUCAUUGGAUAGUCCGCAGUCAGUCUAAGACUAAGAGAGAAACGUUGGAUAAUAAAAAGCUAAGAACAAUCGUUGGAUAUCAAAAACCUAGAAUCUACACGAACAUAAAUAUUAGCAUUUAUCUCUAAAGCUAGCUGUUUGUUUCUUCUCUUUAUUCAUCUAUGUGUAGUUGUAGUUCUGGGUGUUCAUAAUCAAUGAAAAAUGGGGGAGUUAACAGUGAUGAUGAUGGUAUAAAUAAAGGGGUUAGUAAACUUUGGUUUAUCAACUAGUUUCUUCAUUGAUAAGAGUAUUUCCUUUAAUCAUAAUAAUAACCCAAAGUUCUUAUUUUUAUUUUUAUUUUUCUCUUUCUAGUAGUAAGUUGAGGUAACGAUGAAGGUAGAAUGUAACGCCCCAAAAUCGCAACACGAAUCCCCAUUACUCAAUGUCAGAUCUUGAGGCAUUAGAAAACCCCAACCCAUGAUAAUCAUUUAAUAAUACAAGAUUCUGAAUGAUAUUCAUAUAUGUAAUUAGAAUUAAUACAAAAAAUUUGCAUAGAAAUAGUAGCAAUGAAUACACUGCCUUUAUAUAUAUAUAUACACAAUGAAGAAAUUACAUAUAUCGUACAAAACGCAUUGUACACUCUGUAGUCUCUGUAUAACACUCAUCUUCUCAAUCAACAUAUCCCCGAGCAACUGUUUAUCUGAAAAGGGUUAAUGAUAGGGUGAGCAUUUCCACUUGCUCAGUAGUGACUCACAUUUCCAAAAUACUAUCUAAUCAUGCAUGACGAUUAACCAUUCUAAACAUUUGAAAGAAUGCAAGUUUUAAUAAUUGAAAGUAACUUUCUACCGUAAAUAAUCAAUAAUAUACAAGCAUUCAAACAAUAAGUCGGGUACCUGUAUCCUAUCAGCGUGCUGAGGGUACGACUGGUACUCGGCCCCCAGUCCAGGCAAUACCUUAGUUCAGUACUUACCGGUGUGAACCUGCACUGUUAGUUCCUGAUUAUCCGGUCGGGUGAUUACCGUUUUUGUGCUCGAGCACACUAGCCCUCUUCUAGGGCUCAGGUGGGCCCUCUAACCACGACGCCCCGAGGGGGGAAUCAUCUAUCACGGUGGUCAACCGUUUGACGACUACAGACUCCUCAGGAUCCUGACACACGUCAAGGAGUGGACUACCUAUCACUCCCCGCGUCUAACCUCCUCGAGGUAGCAUGUAUCCCCACAACACACUAACCAUCCACAGCAAAUACCACUAAAAGCAUGGCAAUCCAGGAAGGUAGAAGAGAAAUUCCCGAAAACAUCCUACAAUGUUCGCCUCUAGAAAGUGCCCAUUCACCGUCUAAAGGUGAAAACUGCAUAUGUAAUCUUACAAAGAACUAUCAUCUCUAGAAUAUGACAACAAUUCCUUCUUUGUAGGAAUUCAAGGAUCCCUUGCCAGACCGCCUCGUGAUACAAUAUUUAUAUAUAAUAUAUAGGGUGUCUUUUAAUAAUAAUUAAUUUAAUCUGGCAUGUGUGACGACUCCCUGAAUUUAUCAACCAUCAAACCAGUCCUCUAUUCACGGCUACCCUAACUGGGCCAAAGCCGAAGAGACUAUCCCCUAUUCCAUGGCUACCCUAACCGGGCCAAAACCAAAGGGAUUAUAAUCCGAUCUGUAAUAAUAUGUUCGUGUAAGCACCGAGAUCAUAUUCCUAAUUCAGGAACCUCACACCAUACCAACAUACAACUGGGAUCCCACAUCCCACAUACAAAAUCCAUCUCUUUUUUCCCAUCCUGGAAAAGAGAUGCAAUAAAAACUUCAAUAGCUUUUCCGUUUAUAAAACCAUUUCAAUAGACAUAUACUGUUUUAAUAACUCCAGUAUAAAACAUGAUAUCUAUAACUAAUCCUUUUAAUAGAACUACAAUCGAUAAACCACGAGUAAUCUAUAUAUACCAAACAAAACCAUGCAUGCAUUUUUAUCAUCAAUAAUAUAUCAAUUAAUUUGCAACAUUUAAAAUAUGACACAUGAAAAGACAGUAUAAAAGAAAUGUAAGUCCAUACCUUAUCGUGCUCCUGAAUAUCACGUUCCAAUCCAAAUACCCGAGUUAGUCCAAUGUCCCCCUCUCGUAAUUGACAUCAAAUCCCUACAAACAAAUUGAUCAUUCAAAUCACCGAAAGAUGUUAUUCGAGGAACCACACUCUAUGUACUUCGUUUAAUUAGCCAUAAGCAAUUGCGCCGGCAAAGCCACUAAGACUAGAAAGUACUUCCCAUUCCAGGUGACAUUCUAUCACCUUCUUCCUAUUUCUUUUAUAUUUUUCCUGAAAUCUCCCAAAGCCUGCCACCUUCUUGAGCACUUGAUUAAUCGAACAAACUAAAACUAAAAGAAAAUCAACUAUACCAGUAAGUUAAUUAAGUUGGUCACCUCCCUUAAUUCAUAUUAGGCUUCCACAACUCGCAUGAGAAAGAAUCUAAGUCCAAAUACAUGUUACUAAAAUGGACAACUAGCUAUAUAUGCCUAAAAACAAGUUCUAAAACAUGAGAAUGUACCCGUCAGAACUGAAGCUUCUCUAGCUCUUGCAACAAAAAACCUUGGCAAGACAAUUACUUAGAAGGUCAACAACAUGAAUUUCUAUGAUGAAACCCCUGGUUCAUCUCUCUUUCCUUUCUUCAUCCUUAUUCCCUUGCUUUUCUUACUUUAACCUAGUUGAUAAGCUCAAUAAUAUGGACAAGUUCAUUUUUUUUUUUUUAAUGGUAAUUGACCAUGUGUGAGCUCUGCUACCGUGACUUAGGUUAGGUUACUCCCAAGUAACUUAGCUACUCCCCCACCCCUUUUUAGCACUUUUCUUUCCUAAAACAGCCAACCUUAUCCGUUUGAAGUUUGAACUCAAUUCACCGCCUUUUUUUAGCCAAUUCUGGCAUUUCUCAGCCCUAAACCUUGUUUUCCCCGGUGAUCAUGGCAGAUCUUGAACCCCAAAGCUCCCCAAUUUCUCCAGACCUAGCUUUCAACAAACACACAACCACCCAUAACCCCCUUAAUUCUGUCGUCACCCGUUCCUCUUCGUAUGGAACCAAGCUUGUCUAUAAUGGCCACACCCCCACCACAAUUAAAUGCUCAUUUUCAACAGGAACAAAAGGAAAUCGACGGAUCUGAGAAGGAAACUUGUGGAUCCAAGAAGGAAAAGUCUGAAGCUGAAGAAACAAGUAACUAAGCACCCACAACACAGAGAUGGAGCUCUCUGCUUCGUAAGCUGCCACCAUCGGCUGGUAAGGAUGAAUUAACUUUCAUAGAAUCCAAUUUUGAGCAUAAUCAACUUAUAGUAGAAGAAGAUAUCCUAGAAGAAGGAGCUAAGGAAUGGGAAAGUAGAGUGGUGGGUUUCUUCCUUGAUAAGAAACUACCAUACACACUAGUGAAAGACAUGGUUAUCAAGAAGUGGAAACCAAGGGGAAGUAAUUAUGUAGCCCUUGAUGGGGACAUGUUCUAUUUCAACUUUAACAAUGACGAAGAUCGGGAGGAGGUCGUUGAAGAAGGUCCAAUUGUUUUGGGAGGCAAGCUCUUUGUAGUACGAGCAUGGACAAGGGAAGUUGAAGAAAAUAGGGGGUCUGUUAACAGAGUUCCAGUAUGGGUUAAACUUUUCAAUGUGCCGAAGCAUCUUUGGAACAAAAAGGGAGUAAGCUAUCUUGGAAGUGUUAUAGGAAGACCGAUGUGUAUGGAUAGAACCAUAGAAGAGAAACAAAUGUUGACUUUUGCCAGAAUUUGUGUCGAAGUAGAUGCAAAAUCUACACUACCAGAUGAGAUCAAAUUGAAGACAAGAACAAGGAAGGAGUUGGUCAUACAUCUGGAGUACCCAUGGAAACCUUUACUUUGUACUGUAUGUAAAGUGUUUGGUCAUAGUGACAAUGGUUGUGAAAGGAAGAUCCCUGAGAAGAACAAGAGCAAGAAGAAACAAGUCAAUGCAGAUAGGGAAGAAGGGGAAUGGAUAGAGCCAGCAAAAGUAUGGAGGAAGAAACAUAAUGGAAACCACAAUUACCAACAAAACUCCAAAAACUGGAACUUAAACAAAGAGAAAGCCCAAACAAUACCAUCGGCUCAUGGUUAUAAGGUUAAGAACCAUAAUGCAGAGGCUUCUACUAGCAAGACUCACCACAAGGAAAAGACACCCAUACAACCAAGGAAGCCAACAACUACUACACAAGUAGAAAUACUGAAAAUUACAAGCAAUAAAUUCGAAGUCCUCGGCAACAUACAGGGGAAAGAACAAGUAAAUCAUGAGAAAGCAAUUGUUAUUGUAGGAACAGAAGAUGAUGAAACAUGGGAUGACACUGGGGAGAGUAAUGAAACUGACAAAUCAAACAGUGGCAAUGAACUGGAGGAGGGCACUGCAAGGCAGGUACAGAGGCCGCCAUGCCCAGACCCAUCUCAAUAUUUACUAUGCAAUAUACCAGAAAAACCAGUACAAAGUACAAGAAGAAGUGUGAGGCAGGCAAAAAGGGGGGAAGCUAAACUGAAGGAGACAACUCAGUUGGUGGAGGGAGACAAAACUGCAGGAAAGACUGCAGGCAAGAAAAAAAUUCUUAAGUGAUAUGGCUAGCAACUUAGCUACCUGGAAUAUCAUAGGACUCAAUAACCCCAGGAAAACUAAUGAGGUAAGGAAGUUAAUUACAGAUCAUUAUUUAAAAUUGGUUGGCCUUUUAGAAACUAAGGUGAAAGCUAGGAAUACAAACAUGGUACUUAGAAGAAUUAAUGACUGGAGUAGUGUCAAUAAUAACUCCAAGGACCAUAGAGGAAGGAUUUGGGUACUUUGGACCCAAAAUGUAUGACAGUACAAGUGAGUUACCUAACUGAUCAAGCAAUUCAUUGUGUGGUGGAGGAUAAGGUAGCUAAAACUGUGUACAGAAUGUCAGUAAUUUAUGGAAGGAAUACAAGAAGAGAAAGAAGUGUUCUGUGGGAAGACUUAAAACACUAUGCUAGAGGGAUUCCCAAUAACCAACCAUGGUUAUUGAUGGGAGAUUUCAAUGCAUGUAAAGAAAUUUCAGAGAAUGUUGGUGGAUCAAGACUACAUGACAGAGAUAUGAGAGACCUUUCAAAUUGCAUGGAAACAUGUGGCCUUGAAGAUCUUAAAGCAUGUGGCAGCUUUUACACAUGGACUAACAGAUCAGAAGGGCAAGAUAGAGUUUUAUGCAAACUUGACAGAUGUUUGGUUAAUGAUGCAUGAAACAAUUUCUUUCCAGGGGCUGGAGCACUUUUCUUAGAGCAUGGGGUUUCUGAUCACUCUGCCAUUGCUCUCAAAUGGCCGCAUAAUAUUGGUAAAAGGCACACACCCUUUAGGUUCUUCAAUCAUUGGAUUUUACAUGCUGAAUUCAAGGAGCUGGUUGUAGAAACGUGGAACUGUGAAGUAAUGGGAAACCCUAUGAUAAGAUUAUACUAUAAACUGAAGAUUCUUAAAGCUAAACUUAAAGAAUGGAGUAAGUCAAACUUCUUGGACUUAUAUAAUAGAGUGGUCCAAGGAAGGGAGGCAAUGAGCAGAAUCCAAACAGAAAUUCAAGUGCAUCCACUAUAUAGCAAUCUAGCAGCACUUGAGAAGGAAGCCAUCAGUGAAUAUAAAAGAUACGCUGCAACAGAGGAGUCAUCGCUACAACCAAAAACAAGUGCCAGUUGGGCUUGCUUGGGUGAUGAUAACACAAGUUUCUUCCACAAGAAAGUAAAAGGGUACCAAAUCAGAAACUCAAUACACAGUAUUGUGGAUCAACAAAGAACUCUGACUGAUAAGGAAGACAUUGCAAACCUCUCUGUUAGUCAUUUCAAACAGGUACAACUUGAUAGAGUGGUCCCAGAAGAGAUGAAACAAGCUAUGUGUGAGGAGGUUACUGAACAAGAGAUUAAACAUGCAAUUUUUGCCAUUCCUGAUGACAAGUCUGCUGGACCAGAUGGGUUCAAUUCUAAAUUCUAUAAAGCUUGCUGGGAAGUGGUAGGUGCAGGAUGUGACAAAGGCAAUACAAAAUUUCUUCAAUGCAGGUAAGAUGUUGAGAGGAGGUAAUACAACUCUUAUUAGUUUGAUUCCAAAGGUGCAAAUGCUAAAUAUAGUGAAGGAUUACAGACCAAUCUCAUGCUGCAACGUCAUAUACAAAGGGAUAUCUAAAUUCAUUGUAAACAGAAUCAAAGAUGCAAUGUCGGGACUCACUGAACCAAACCAAGGUACCUUCAUACAUGGGAGAAACAUAACAGACAAUAUUAUAAUUUCCCAUGAGCUGCUGCGCAAAUACAAGAGGAGGAAUUCAAGUGCUAGAUGUACUAUUAAGAUAGACAUACAAAAAGCAUAUGACUUCAUAAGAUGGAACUUAAUCAUUGAAGUGUUGAGUAUGAUGCGAUUCCUAGAAAAGAUGAUCAAUUGGAUCAAAGUAUGUUUAUCCACUGUACAUUACUCACUCUUAGUGAAUGGGAAGGUUGAAGGUUUCUUCAAGGGUGAUUUAGGUUUUGGUCACCACUUUUUAGUAUCAAUUUGGUUCUGGAGCCGGUUUUUAUCUUNNNNNNNNNNNNNNNNNNNNNNNNNNNNNNNNNNNNNNNNNNNNNNNNNNNNNNNNNNNNNNNNNNNNNNNNNNNNNNNNNNNNNNNNNNNNNNNNNNNNGAUGGCUGGAAUUACCUCUAAGCUGGCGUUUGUUACAAAAACUAUAUUAGGGUUAGUGAUCACGUGCAGAUCACGUGAGUUUCAGGGGUAAAAUUAGGUAUUUUGAAAAUAUUUUCGGUUCAACCGGGUUUUUUUAGUUGUUGGUUCGAAAAUGAGCUCUAAACCCUAAUAAAGAUAAAAACCGGCUCCAAAACCUAAUUUAUACUAAAAAGUGGUGACCAAAACCUAAAUCACCCUUUCUUCAAAGGUGAGAAGGGGCUCAGGCAAGGAGACCCUCUCUCACCUUUGCUCUUUGUGCUAGCAAUGGAAGUGUUUGGAAGCAUGCUGAAGACUCAAUACAAUGAAGGGAAUUUCUCACUGCACCCGAAAUGUAUGGAUCCUCUCAUUACCCAUUUAACAUUUGCGGAUGAUCUAAUGAUAUUUUGUAGGGCAAAAGUCGAGACAGCUGAGACAAUAAGAGACACUCUGGCACUCUUCUACAACUACUCAGGACUCACUAUCAACCCUCUCAAAAGCUCCAUCAUAUUUGGAGGUACAAAUGAAGUAACACAAGCCGAAUUUGCUCACCUUCUCAAUAUGCCAAUUGUGGAACCUCCAGUGGUGUAUCUAGGUUUGCCUCUCACUUCAACAAGGCUCCACAUCUCAGACUGUCAAGGGCUAACUGAAAGCUUCAAGAAGAAAAUUUCAAACUAGGUAAACAAGUUACUCUCCUUUGCUGGAAGGAUGCAGCUCAUUCAAUCAGUGCUUGCAAGCACUGCUGUUUAUUGGUUUAGAGUGUUUCUACUACCUCAAGCAGUAAUUACAGAGCUGAACAGAAUCUGCAGUAAGUUCCUAUGGUCUGGACCAGACAUGGGAAGGAAGAAGCACUAUGUUAGCUAGAAACAAUGUUGCCUAAGUAAGAAGGAAGGGGGACUUGGUAUGAAAAACAUGAAAGAAUGGAACCAAGCUUAUGUUGGGAAGAGUGCAUUUAAAAUUGCUACUAACAUUGAUUCUCUAUGGGUUAAGUGGGCUCACAAACACUUAAUCAAGAGAAAUUAUUAUUGGGCAAUGGAUAUUCCAGCUGACUGUUCUCAUGGGUGGAGGGGUAUUUUGAGUUGUAGAGAUAUAAUACAGUCUCAAGUUACUUUCCAAAUUGCCACAGGACAUGAUACUAAGGUAUGGCAUGACCCAUGGCUCGAAGGCGGUGUGCUCAGGAAAAGAGUUCAAACCAUUGACAGGAGGGCAUCAACCAUCAGAGAUAAUGCAAAUGUAAGCAUCCUCAUAAGAAAUAACUCCUGGAAUCUUCCUCAGACAGACAACAUAGCAGUGACAACACUUUGGAGUGAGAUACAAGAAGUGAAUAUCAAUAACAUGGAGGAGAAGGACACUAUAUGCUGGAGACCACACCCUAGGGGCAUCUACACAAUUAGAACUACUUACUGUAUGCUAAAACCAAGGGCUGUUAAGUUAAAAUGGAGUAACGUGGUGUGGAACAGAAGAAUCACUCCAAACCUGUUUUCAUCACAUGGCUGACAAUGCAAAAUAGACUCAUAACACAAGAUAAGUUGUACCAAUGGGGGCUACUGAAAGAAACAAAU